GACGAACGCUGGCGGCGUGCUUAACACAUGCAAGUCGAACGGAAAGGCCUCUUUCGGGGGGUACUCGAGUGGCGAACGGGUGAGUAACACGUGAGUAACCUGCCCUUGACUUUGUGAUAACUUCAGGAAACUGGGGCUAAUACCGGAUAGGAGCUCCUGCUGCAUGGUGGGGGUUGGAAAGUUUCGGCGGUUGGGGAUGGACUCGCGGCUUAUCAGCUUGUUGGUGGGGUAGUGGCUUACCAAGGCUUUGUCGGGUAGCCGGCCUGGGAGGGUGACCGGCCACAUUGGGACUGGGAUACGGCCCAGACUCCUACGGGAGGCAGCAGUGGGGAAUAUUGCACAAUGGGUGGGAGCCUGAUGCAGCAACGCCGUGGGCGGGAUGACGGGCUUCGGGUUGUAAACCGCUUUCGCUCAUGACGAAGCUUUGUGUGACGGUAGUGGGUAAAGAAGCACCGGCUAACUACGUG
RNAcentral lists this ribosomal RNA (467 nucleotides) under uncultured bacterium. RNAcentral describes it as "partial 16S ribosomal RNA". It matches the Rfam family "Bacterial small subunit ribosomal RNA", at positions 28 to 507 of the family's 1533-position model. The record is from RNAcentral.